AAAAUUUAUUUCGUUUCCGACCUUUUUUUCGCUACAAAAUAGUCCCCAAGGUUUCAGUUUAUUUUAAAAUCGUCCUUUUUUUUUCAAAUCUUUUAUUUUUAUUACCAAAUUACCCUUAAUAAAAAAUUAAAAAAAUAGAAAAAGAAAACGCGUAAAGUAAAGGGGAAAGGGGGAAGGGGUUACGCGAAGGGAGAAGGGUGGAGAGGGAGAAGGGUCCUCGCCGUUGUCGCCAGCUAUUCUUUGUCGCCGCCGCCGCUGUUCUUCGCAGCCACCGCCAUUCAACAGCACCAGAAUCAGUCGCAGUUCCGCCUUCAAAUGUCAGGGCCAUCGUUGCUCGUCGUUGUUCAGUGGUUGGAUCUCGCCGCUGCUCCUCUGGGCUCGGCGGAGGUGCUCGAUGGCAGUGGAUUCUGGUUCAAGGCAAGAACAGAGGAAGGCUUCGGUGGUGAGCUGAAGGAGGAGAAGAGGUCGCGCUGUGACGGUGGCACUAGGGUAGCGCGAAGAGAGAAGAAGAAAAGGGUUGUGGCGCUUUGAUGGCGGAUCGGCGCUGUGAUGGCGGUUUCGGGUGGCUCGCCAGAUUCUUCUUCUAUUGUUCAUGAAUUUUUGAAAUUGUGGAAAGCUGGCUGAGAAGAAAAUAGUGAGUUACCUACCAAAUUGUUCCAUGGGUUUCAUAGAGCUCGUCGCGGUGAACGCGUAGUCGCAAACGGUUCGUCAAUCAGAAUUUCAGAUCAAAAGUUAUUGAGACAUGAAAUCUCAAUGAGGGUUUGGAAGCUUUGGUGUUCUUCCUCCCAACAAUGACAGCGUGGAUGCAGAAAUGAAGGG
This 819-nucleotide long non-coding RNA is filed under the name Arachis ipaensis. RNAcentral describes it as "long non-coding RNA (AIPA_LNC001129)". Lineage: Eukaryota; Viridiplantae; Streptophyta; Magnoliopsida; Fabales; Fabaceae. The record is from RNAcentral.